AGGGGUUCCCCGUCCGGCCGCCGCCGCCGCCGCCGACGCUGCCCCGCUCCGGGCCCGGGGCUCCCCCUAGCGCUGCUGAGGAGCUGCCGCCGCGGCUCGAGGAGGGCGGAGGAACGGGGCUGAGAGAGAGCGCCUGGAGGCUCGCGGGGAGGGAGUGUGUGAUUGAUUUGCUCUGAAUGUAAAAUUUGGCCAAAGAUUGUUCCUCUUUGAACUCCUCCACAUUCCUUCUCCCGCUGUUCCAUGACUGAUUUGCAACAUUACCUGUUAAUACUGUUUGUUGGUGAAGCUUCUUGUCGACUCAUCUGUCACCAGCAGUUACUGAAUGUCCCCCAGUGUGCAGAAUACUGAUGAAAUGCCUGAAUUCUUGCAGUGCUACAAAAUGCCAUUCUGGAGAAGACAAAGACUUGGGGCAUUUGUUUUCACUUUUUCUCCCCUCCCUCCUGUAAAUUUACUGAGUUUGAAAUCUUUUUACUCCUUCAUGUGUAAUGUGGAGAAUGUGUAUCAGUUGUGUGUUCUUAUAGUCUUGCCAUUUGGAAGACUGGCAUUCCAGAGGAGUGUUUUGUAUAGCUCAAGGAAUUUCAGUCACUUGGGUGUUCAGAGACUUAUUGCAGAUCGUUUUAGACUAAUGUAUCAAGAAAAAUAAACUGAUCCUUUUUAUUCUUUAAUUACA
Cervus elaphus (red deer) is the source of this 670-nucleotide long non-coding RNA. RefSeq lists it as uncharacterized. NCBI's taxonomy places the organism in Eukaryota, Metazoa, Chordata, Mammalia, Artiodactyla, Cervidae. The record is from RefSeq and is a predicted model, not a curated record. The transcript is spliced from 2 exons.